Molecule: ribosomal RNA, 253 nt
Filed under: uncultured bacterium
Lineage: Bacteria
Description: partial 16S ribosomal RNA
Rfam family: Bacterial small subunit ribosomal RNA
Source: RNAcentral
UACAGAGGUCUCAAGCGUUGUUCGGAUUCAUUGGGCGUAAAGGGUGCGUAGGCGGCGCGGUAAGUCGGGUGUGAAAUCUUGGAGCUUAACUCCGAAACUGCAUUCGAUACUGCCGUGCUUGAGGACUGGAGAGGAGACUGGAAUUUACGGUGUAGCGGUGAAAUGCGUAGAUAUCGUAAGGAAGACCAGUGGCGAAGGCGGGUCUCUGAACAGUUCCUGACGCUGAGGCACGAAGGUCAGGGGAGCAAACGGG